GGGGGCGAAAUGGAUUCGACCGGGCAAUUGAAGUGUGGGUCGCGUGUCGUGGUUGGUCGGAAAGCCACGUAAAAAUCCGUCCAAAAUUAAAUGCCAAAUAUGAUAAUAACUUGGUAAUGGUCGCCUAAGAAAAGGCUUCCCGCGUUUUCGGAUCCCUGACAGAUGGAGCCGAAAACCCGUAAUAAAUAUCUGAAUCGCGCUGGUUCACUGAAGGUACGGCCAGGGUUAAAAAUGUUCCUAUCUGGUACGGGUUUUAGCGCGUUGAUACGCGAAAAUUCGUAUGAGAUUUAAAAUAUCGGCUACACACGUAGAAGCUCACAGGGAGAUGUCGCGGGACGCGGGUUCGAUACCCGCCGCCUCCAAUU
This 365-nucleotide transfer-messenger RNA is filed under the name Planctomycetia bacterium. It matches the Rfam family "transfer-messenger RNA". From Rfam's summary of the family: Bacterial tmRNA, also known as 10Sa RNA or SsrA, is named for its dual tRNA and mRNA-like properties. Its role is to liberate the mRNA from a stalled ribosome. To accomplish this part of the tmRNA is used as a reading frame that ends in a translation stop signal. Lineage: Bacteria; Pseudomonadati; Planctomycetota; Planctomycetia. The record is from RNAcentral.